CCUCCGCCAGCUUCACCCUCCAUGGCUCAUGUUGGCCCCAAUCUCUCUCAUCUUACCUUAUUCUCUCUCCUUCAGCUCCGCCGUCUGCAUCCCAUCUUCGUUCAUCGGAGCCAAUUCCCUCCUCAUCCUUCUCUCACACAAACCUCCUCCUUGGCACAACCAAAUUUCUUCUCUGUCGAUGACCGCAGCUAUACGGGACUCAUCGAUCCACUGUUUUCGACUAGCCGGCGACGAACGCCAUGGAUUCCGUUCGCAGCUGGCGAGAAGUGUGAAAAUGGCGGGGGAGAUUUGGAUAACACGGUGAUGACGUAGAAGCAAGCCAACGACGACGACGUGGCAACGGCCAUGACCGUAGGGAGUCAGCAACGAGGAUGCGACGGUGAUGGUGAUGUCGUUGCUAUUCAUAUCCAUAUCUGCUACAAUUGAAUUCAGGCGACGUUCUGCAUGGGCUUAAGAUACAAUCUUCUUUUAUCAAUUUAUUAAUGCUUUGAACAUUGCGGCAUGGGCUAGCAAAGAGAAGGAGGACAAAGAUGCUCCACUUUACUUAAAACGAAAGCAGCUGAACAGCACCAAAAAGUGUCAUUGAAACACGUGCAGCAACAUGGGAGGAUGCAGAGAAGGCCAAGUAUAUGGCCAGGAAUGUGAUGAUGAUCUUGUGACCAUAGCCCUCCCUCGCCUUCAAGUUUCAACAGUGUUUUACCCGCAAAAAAAAAAAAAGUUUCAACAGUUGAUGCAAAAAGGGGAAAGCAUAUGGCAUUGUUUUUGAGUUUCGCUACGAGCUAUGAACCUUACAAUUUGAUGUUUGUUUUUAUCUUCUACCAUUUAAAAAUUAGUGUAUUUGGAGUUUCAAUAGAGGAAAAAUUUUAUGUUUAUAUGCAUACUCUUUUUGUGUAUAGUUAUAAAAUUUAUUGUAUUCUGAAUGUUAUUAAAAUUACGUAAUUGUCAGAAUUUAUGUAAUUUAUUAUUUAGGAAAAAUGUAAC
Long non-coding RNA from Prosopis cineraria, 981 nucleotides. RefSeq lists it as uncharacterized. The transcript has 4 exons. The record is from RefSeq and is a predicted model, not a curated record. NCBI's taxonomy places the organism in Eukaryota, Viridiplantae, Streptophyta, Magnoliopsida, Fabales, Fabaceae.